RNAcentral lists this ribosomal RNA (629 nucleotides) under Mortierella sp. W1_10_1. Its description in RNAcentral is "eukaryotic LSU rRNA". The stretch from base 185 to 338 matches the Rfam family "5.8S ribosomal RNA". Lineage: Eukaryota; Fungi; Mortierellomycota; Mortierellomycetes; Mortierellales; Mortierellaceae. The record is from RNAcentral.
UGGGAAGGAUCAUUCAUAAUCAAGUGUUUUUAUGGCACUUUAAAUCCCAUAUCCACCUUGUGUGCAAUGUCAUUCUCACUGGGGUUACGUUUGUAAAAUUUCGUGAUCCGUUUGGGAUUUAUAUCUACUCAGAACUUUAGUCAUUUUGUCUGAAACAUAUUAUGAAUAACUUAAUUCAAAAUACAACUUUCAACAACGGAUCUCUUGGCUCUCGCAUCGAUGAAGAACGCAGCGAAAUGCGAUACGUAAUGUGAAUUGCAGAAUUCAGUGAAUCAUCGAAUCUUUGAACGCAUAUUGCGCUCUCUGGUAUUCCGGAGAGCAUGCUUGUUUGAGUAUCAGUAAACACCUCAACUCCCUUUCUUCUUGAAAUGGAGCUGGACUUGAGUGAUCCCAACGCUUUAUUCAUAAAGUGGCGGGUUACUUGAAAUGCAGGUGCAGCUGGACUUUUCUCUGAGCUAUAAGCAUAUCUAUUUAGUCUGCCUCAAAAACAGAUUAUUACCUUUGCUGCAGCUAACAUAAAGGAGAUUAGUUCUUGUGCUGACUGAUGCAGGAUUCACAAAGACCGCUUCGGCUGUCUUUGUAAACUCGAUCUCAAAUCAAGUAAGACUACCCGCUGAACUUAACAUUCA